Molecule: microRNA precursor, 160 nt
Filed under: Puccinia graminis f. sp. tritici CRL 75-36-700-3
Lineage: Eukaryota; Fungi; Basidiomycota; Pucciniomycetes; Pucciniales; Pucciniaceae
Description: microRNA MIR807
Source: RNAcentral
GAUGGCCAGCUGGAAGGAGACCCUUCCAGCCGGCGAGGUACUUGUACCUCGUCGACCGGAAGGGUGUCCUUCCAGUCGACGAGGUAUGGAAGGACACCCUUCCAGUCGACGAGGUACAAGUACCUCAACGGCUGGAAGGAAGCCCUUCCAGCCGGCCCUU